This 254-nucleotide ribosomal RNA is filed under the name uncultured bacterium. Its description in RNAcentral is "partial 16S ribosomal RNA". It matches the Rfam family "Bacterial small subunit ribosomal RNA", at positions 524 to 776 of the family's 1533-position model. The record is from RNAcentral.
UACAGAGGUCCCAAGCGUUGUUCGGAUUCACUGGGCGUAAAGGGUGCGUAGGCGGUCGGGUAAGUCUGACGUGAAAUCUCCAAGCUCAACUUGGAAAUGGCGUCGGAUACUAUUCGGCUCGAGGAAUGGAGGGGAGACUGGAAUUCUCGGUGUAGCAGUGAAAUGCGUAGAUAUCGAGAGGAACACCAGUGGCGAAGGCGAGUCUCUGGACAUUUUCCUGACGCUGAGGCACGAAAGCCAGGGGAGCAAACGGG